This 208-nucleotide ribosomal RNA is filed under the name uncultured bacterium. Its description in RNAcentral is "partial 16S ribosomal RNA". It matches the Rfam family "Bacterial small subunit ribosomal RNA", at positions 568 to 774 of the family's 1533-position model. The record is from RNAcentral.
CACGUAGGCGGUUCGUCAAGUUGGAUGUGAAAUUCCAUGGCUCACCCAUGGAGCUGCAUUCAAUACUGACGGACUGGAGUGCUGGAGGGGAGAGUGGAACUCUUGGUGGAGCGGUGAAAUGCGUAGAUAUCAAGAGGAACGCCGGUGGCGAAGGCGACUCUCUGGACAGUGACUGACGCUGAGUGUGCGAAAGCCAGGGUAGCGAACG